CUCCUACACCAAGUUCUCCCGUGAGAAGCUGGACACACUAGUCGAGUUCCCUAUCCGGGACCUUGAUUUCUCAGAGUUUCUCAUCAAACCAAGGAGCGAGGCUGACCCAGCUCCCUGCAAAUACGACCUCAUCGCUGUCUCGAACCACUAUGGAGGCCUGCGUGAUGGGCAUUAUACAACAUUUGCCCGGAACAAGGACAGUGGUCAGUGGCAUUACUUUGAUGACAGCAGCGUCUCCCCCGUGUCUGAGAGCCAGAUUGAGUCCAAGGCGGCCUAUGUUCUAUUCUAUCAGCGGCAGGACAAGGUGCAUCGGUCCCCAACCCGGCCUGGCCUGACCAACACGGUCUCCACACCCCCUAGCGAUGGCCCAGGCCCUUGUCCCCGGGUCGAGCCCAUGGACAUGGACUGAAGGAGGGGGAAACUGAGGGGGGGUGAGCACCAUCCUGUCCCCCUCCUCGUUCCCACAGAUCACCAGCACCCACUGCCCUGGACCAUCUCAGGUACUGCUCCCCAGGGCUUCCCUCUAGCCCUCUUUCCCUGGCCCCGGGGACCCCCAGCCAUGGCCGCUGCCCCCUCCCGUCCCUGGGCUCACCCCUUCCUCCAUGGGCAGCCACUCAAGUGCCUGCCCCACUCCUAGUCAGAGCAAUAAGUCCUGGCCUCCCUCCACCGUCCUUCCCCCCUCCCCCCCUCCCCAAUCCCCCUCGAGAUGUUUCUCUUUUUUUGUAAUUUAUGGUUCACUGCCCACUGGGGGCAGCCAGGGCUGGGUCUUCCGGGUGGGGGAGAAGGUCUAAGCCAGUGAAUACAGAUUGUAUUUUAUUAUUGAAGCCCUCCCCCUGCUGUCUGGUGCCCGUUGUACAUAAAAGCCCAUGUUUCACCUGGA
Long non-coding RNA from Gracilinanus agilis (Agile Gracile Mouse Opossum), 880 nucleotides. RefSeq lists it as uncharacterized. The transcript has 4 exons. Lineage: Eukaryota; Metazoa; Chordata; Mammalia; Didelphimorphia; Didelphidae. The record is from RefSeq and is a predicted model, not a curated record.